UCGAAGGUACUAUUCAGAAUCAUUUGUUUAGUAAAUCUAUCGAUACCAUUUGCAGCAAUUGCGAUCCUUAGGGCUGGGAUGACGAGUCGAGGCAGUAGGCUGUAUUGAAGAUGGACACUUGUGUCUACUUGAUGAUAUAUAGACGUUUAGUCCUAGCCUGCUGUGUUCUGACCAGC
Molecule: small nucleolar RNA, 176 nt
Filed under: Ordospora colligata OC4
Lineage: Eukaryota; Fungi; Microsporidia; Ordosporidae
Description: Small nucleolar RNA U3
Rfam family: Small nucleolar RNA U3
About the family: Small nucleolar RNAs (snoRNAs) are involved in the processing and modification of rRNA in the nucleolus. There are two main classes of snoRNAs: the box C/D class, and the box H/ACA class.
Source: Rfam by way of RNAcentral